UUUUGUGACUGAGCGGCGGACGGGUGAGUAACGCGUGGGUAACCUGCCUCAUACAGGGGGAUAACAGUUAGAAAUGGCUGCUAAUACCGCAUAAGACCACAGUACUGCAUGGUACAGUGGUAAAAACUCCGGUGGUAUGAGAUGGACCCGCGUCUGAUUAGGUAGUUGGUGAGGUAACGGCCCACCAAGCCGACGAUCAGUAGCCGACCUGAGAGGGUGACCGGCCACAUUGGGACUGAGACACGGCCCAGACUCCUACGGGAGGCAGCAGUGGGGAAUAUUGCACAAUGGGCGAAAGCCUGAUGCAGCGACGCCGCGUGAAGGAUGAAGUAUUUCGGUAUGUAAACUUCUAUCAGCAGGGAAGAUAAUGACGGUACCUGACUAAGAAGCUCCGGCUAAAUACGUGCCAGCAGCCGCGGUAAUACGUAUGGAGCAAGCGUUAUCCGGAUUUACUGGGUGUAAAGGGUGCGUAGGUGGCAGUGCAAGUCAGAUGUGAAAGGCCGGGGCUCAACCCCGGAGCUGCAUUUGAAACUGCUCGGCUAGAGUACAGGAGAGGCAGGCGGAAUUCCUAGUGUAGCGGUGAAAUGCGUAGAUAUUAG
Molecule: ribosomal RNA, 599 nt
Filed under: uncultured Lachnospiraceae bacterium
Lineage: Bacteria; Bacillati; Bacillota; Clostridia; Lachnospirales; Lachnospiraceae
Description: bacterial SSU rRNA
Rfam family: Bacterial small subunit ribosomal RNA
Source: RNAcentral